Molecule: ribosomal RNA, 466 nt
Filed under: Paenibacillus polymyxa
Lineage: Bacteria; Bacillati; Bacillota; Bacilli; Caryophanales; Paenibacillaceae
Description: bacterial SSU rRNA
Rfam family: Bacterial small subunit ribosomal RNA
Source: RNAcentral
UUGCUUCUCAUACCUAGCGGCGGACGGGUGAGUACACGUAGGCAACCUGCCCACAAGACAGGGAUAACUACCGGAAACGGUAGCUAAUACCCGAUACAUCCUUUUCCUGCAUGGGAGAAGGAGGAAAGACGGAGCAAUCUGUCACUUGUGGAUGGGCCUGCGGCGCAUUAGCUAGUUGGUGGGGUAAAGGCCUACCAAGGCGACGAUGCGUAGCCGACCUGAGAGGGUGAUCGGCCACACUGGGACUGAGACACGGCCCAGACUCCUACGGGAGGCAGCAGUAGGGAAUCUUCCGCAAUGGGCGAAAGCCUGACGGAGCAACGCCGCGUGAGUGAUGAAGGUUUUCGGAUCGUAAAGCUCUGUUGCCAGGGAAGAACGUCUUGUAGAGUAACUGCUACAAGAGUGACGGUACCUGAGAAGAAAGCCCCGGCUAACUACGUGCCAGCAGCCGCGGUAAUACGUAGGG